AUGAAGAAGGAGGGGGGUAAGAAGCUUGUGGGCAGGGCAGCAGCAAGGGCUCUCGUGUGGCUUCUGCUUCCCCUCAUUGUCUUGGUCGUGCUCAACUCCGAUCACAUGCCGUGGGUUCCUCAGUUACAAGCAACAUCUCUUUAUUUCGUCGGCCAUGCACCACCUUCUCCCGCAUCAAGCGAGCAGACGCCCAGUGCGGCCGUUGAGGCACCACCUUCUCCGGCAUCACGCGACGAGACGCCCGGCGACGUCGUCAGUGCGAACAAAAGUCAAGGCGACAUCGCCCGUCGACAAGGUACAGAUGUGGCAGCACCAAGAAGCAAGUCAAUCUGCAACUUCAGCAGUGAACGCAUGGACAUAUGUGCCAUGCAAGGCGACGUCCGUAUGCAUGGCAAAUCUGCCACUGUGUACGUGGUCUCAGCGUCUGAUGACAGUUACCGGCCAGAGAAUGGAACGGUGAAGAUCCACCCGUACCCGCGCAAGUCGGAGGAAGGAACGAUGCACGCUAUCCGGGAGGUGACCAUCCGCUGGAGCGGGCUGGAUGCGCCACAGUGCAUGGUGACACACGACGUCCCCGCGGUGGUCUUCUCCACCGGUGGCUUCCUCAACAACUUUUUCCACGCCAUGACCGAUGGUCUCAUCCCUCUCUUCAACACUGUGCGGGAGUAUGAUGGCCGCGUCCAGCUUGUGAUCACUGACUACAACCGCAAGUGGGUCGACAAGUUCCAACGCAUUCUCGCCGCGCUCUCCAUGUACCCGGUCAUCGACUUUGACGCCGACGACAAGGUGCGUUGCUUCCCAUCGGUGCACGUCGGCACCGAGAGCCAUAAGGAGAUGGGGAUCAUCCCUGCUCUCUCCCGCAAGGGCUACACGAUGACGGACUUCCGAAGCUUUCUCAGGUCGGUCUACUCGCUGAAGCGUGAGUGGGCGACCCCCGUAAACCGGACCACCGGCGACAGGCCUCGUCUCCUCAUGGUGUUGCGCCGCAAGUCAAGGGCAUUCGCGAAUGAGGCGGAGGCCGUCGCAGCUGCCACAGAUAUUGGUUUUGAGGUGGUGUUGGGGGCCCCGGAGGCCAUGAGCGACAUGGUCCGGUUCGCUGAGGUUGUGAACUCGUGCGACGUGAUGGUAGGUGUGCAUGGUGCGGGGCUCACCAACAUGGUGUUCCUCCCACGCAACGCGACGUUGGUGCAGGUCGUCCCGUGGGGCGACAUGAGCUGGGGGUCCAAUGCUGCCUUUGGUGCACCGUCGGCUGAUAUGGGGCUCCGGUACGUCCAGUACGAGCCAACCGCCGAGGAGACGACACUCAAGUACAUAUACCCGAGGGACCACGCGGUCUUCACCGACAUUGCCUCCAUACACAGGCAGGGGUAUGGUAUGACGUGGGCGAUCUUCCUCAACGGCCAGAAUAUCACCCUCGACAUCGACCGCUACAGAGGGGUGUUGCAGCAAAUCUACCACGAUAGUGUAAUGGCCAAUCCUUCAUUUAAUUCUGUUGCCGCUGUCGAAGCACCGCCUUCUCCGGCAUCAACCGGCGAGACACCCGGCGCCGUCCUUGAUGCCAACAGAGAUCUCCAAAACGAAAAGGGGCUCCUAGCAAUGAACACGGGAUUAGAUGGUUCUUCAAUAAAAUCAGAUGUGGUAGCACCAAGAAGCAAGUCAAUCUGCGACUUCAGCAGUGAACGCAUGGACAUAUGUGCCAUGCAAGGCGACGUCCGUAUGCAUGGCAAAUCGGCCACCGUGUACGUGGUCUCAUCGUCUGAUGACAGUUACUGGCCAGAGAAUGGAACAGUGAAGAUCCACCCUUACCCGCGCAAGUCGGAGGAAGGAACGAUGCACGCCAUCAGGGAGGUGACCAUCUGCUGGAGCGGGCUGGAUGCGCCACAGUGCACGGUGACACACGACGUCCCCGCGGUGGUCUUCUCCACCGGCGGCUUCCUCAACAAUUUUUUUCACGCCAUGACAGACGGUCUCAUCCCUCUCUUCAACACUGUGCGGGAGUACGAUGGCCGCGUCCAGCUUGUGGUCACCGACUACAACCACAAGUGGGUUGACAAGUUUCAAGACAUCCUCGCCGCGCUCUCCAUGUACCCGGUCAUCGACUUUGACGCCGACGACAAGGUGCGUUGCUUCCCAUCGGUGCACGUCGGCACCGAGAGCCAUAAGGAGAUGGGGAUCAUCCCUGCUCUCUCCCGCAAGGGCUACACGAUGACGGACUUCCGAAGCUUUCUCCGGUCGGUCUACUCGCUGAAGCGUGAGUGGGCUACCCCCGUAAACCGGACCUCCGGCAACAGGCCUCGUCUCCUCAUGGUGUUGCGCCGCAAAUCAAGGGCAUUCGCUAAUGAGGUAGAGGCCGUUGCAACUGCCACUGAUAUCGGUUUUGAGGUGGUGUUGGGGGCUCCAGAGGCCAUGAGCGACAUGGCCCGGUUCGCAGAGGUUGUGAACUCGUGCGACGUGAUGGUGGGUGUGCAUGGUGCGGGGCUCACCAACCUGGUGUUCCUCCCGCGCAACGCGACGUUGGUGCAGGUCGUCCCGUGGGGCGACAUGAGCUGGGGGGCCAAUGCUGCCUUUGGUGCGCCAUCGGCUGAUAUGGGGCUCCGGUACGUCCAGUACGAGCCGACCGCCGAUGAGACGACACUCAAGUACAUAUACCCGAGGGACCACGCGGUCUUCACCGACAUUGCCUCCAUACACAGGCAGGGGUAUGGUAUGACGUGGGCGAUCUUCCUCAACGGCCAGAAUAUCACCCUCGACAUCGACCGCUACAGAGGGGUGUUGCAGCAAAUCUACCACGAUAGUGUAAUGGCCAAUCCUUCAUUUAACUAG
Molecule: ribosomal RNA, 2823 nt
Filed under: Triticum aestivum (bread wheat)
Lineage: Eukaryota; Viridiplantae; Streptophyta; Magnoliopsida; Poales; Poaceae
Description: partial small subunit ribosomal RNA
Source: RNAcentral